GACGAACGCUGGCGGCGUGCUUAACACAUGCAAGUCGAGCGGUAAGGCCCUUUCGGGGGUACACGAGCGGCGAACGGGUGAGUAACACGUGGGUGACCUGCCCUCAGCUCUGGGAUAAGCCCGGGAAACUGGGUCUAAUACCGGAUAUGACUCCAUGACGCAUGUUGUGGGGUGAAAGCCUUGUGCGGCUGAGGAUGGGCCCGCGGCCUAUCAGCUUGUUGGUGGGGUGAUGGCCUACCAAGGCGACGACGGGUAGCCGGCCUGAGAGGGCGACCGGCCACACUGGGACUGAGACACGGCCCAGACUCCUACGGGAGGCAGCAGUGGGGAAUCUUGCGCAAUGGGCGAAAGCCUGACGCAGCGACGCCGCGUGAGGGAUGACGGCCU
This 387-nucleotide ribosomal RNA is filed under the name uncultured bacterium. RNAcentral's name for it is "bacterial SSU rRNA". It matches the Rfam family "Bacterial small subunit ribosomal RNA", at positions 28 to 417 of the family's 1533-position model. The record is from RNAcentral.